GUUAGGAAUAUUGGACAAUGGGCGAAAGCCUGAUCCAGCCAUGCCGCGUGAACGAUGAAGGCCUUCGGGUUGUAAACUGCUUUUGUACGGAACGAAACGGUCCUGGCUAAUAUCCGGGGCUAAUGACGGUACCGUAAGAAUAAGCACCGGCUAACUACGUGCCAGCAGCCGCGGUAAUACGUAGGGUGCGAGCGUUAAUCGGAAUUACUGGGCGUAAAGCGUGCGCAGGCGGUGCUGUAAGACAGGCGUGAAAUCCCCGGGCUCAACCUGGGAAUUGCGCUUGUGACUGCAGUGCUGGAGUGCGGCAGAGGGGGAUGGAAUUCCGCGUGUAGCAGUGAAAUGCGUAGAUAUGCGGAGGAACACCGAUGGCGAAGGCAAUCCCCUGGGCCUGCACUGACGCUCAUGCACGAAAGCGUGGGGAGCAAACAGGAUUAGAUACCCCGGUAGUCC
RNAcentral lists this ribosomal RNA (450 nucleotides) under uncultured bacterium. RNAcentral describes it as "partial 16S ribosomal RNA". It matches the Rfam family "Bacterial small subunit ribosomal RNA", at positions 354 to 796 of the family's 1533-position model. The record is from RNAcentral.